RNAcentral lists this ribosomal RNA (198 nucleotides) under uncultured bacterium. Its description in RNAcentral is "partial 16S ribosomal RNA". It matches the Rfam family "Bacterial small subunit ribosomal RNA", at positions 326 to 539 of the family's 1533-position model. The record is from RNAcentral.
ACGCUCGACACCUACGGUAGGCAGCAGUGGGGAAUAUUGCACAAUGGGGGAAACCCUGAUGCAGCGACGCCGCGUGAGCGAAGAAGUAUUUCGGUAUGUAAAGCUCUAUCAGCAGGGAAGAAAAUGACGGUACCUGACUAAGAAGCCCCGGCUAACUACGUGCCAGCAGCCGCGGUAAUCUGAGCGGGCUGGCAAGGC